AAUGAACUUUUGCCAAAUGUAAAAAGUUUGGCGAAUAAGGACUGGGUAAGACGGGUGCCAGCCGCCGCGGUAAUACCCGCGGUCCAAGUCGCAGCCAUCUUUAUUGGGUAUAAAACAUCCGUAGCUUGCUUGAUAAGUUUUUUGUGAAAUCCUAAGUCUUAAACUUAGGGCGAGCAAAGAGUACUGUUGAGCUAGAGACUGGAAGACGCAAGAAGUAUGUUCAAUGUAGUGGUGAAAUACUUUAAUCUUGAGCAGACUCACAAUAGCGAAGGCAUCUUGCGAGGACAGUUCUGACAGUAAGGGAUGAAGGCUAAGGGCGCAAAAGGGAUUAGAUACCCCUGUAGUCCUAGCAGUAAACACUGCACACUAAACAUUAGUACCUCCUCGAGAGGUAUUGGUGCUGAAGCGAAGGCGAAGAGUGUGCUACCUGGGAAGUAUAGCCGCAAGGCCGAAACUUAAAGGAAUUGGCGGGGGAGCAC
Molecule: ribosomal RNA, 479 nt
Filed under: uncultured archaeon
Lineage: Archaea
Description: bacterial SSU rRNA
Rfam family: Archaeal small subunit ribosomal RNA
Source: RNAcentral